Molecule: non-coding RNA, 91 nt
Organism: Mycena epipterygia
Lineage: Eukaryota; Fungi; Basidiomycota; Agaricomycetes; Agaricales; Mycenaceae
Source: the annotation of a GenBank genome assembly
GCGGACGUGGUGCACGGUGCACCGCUGCCUUCAAUGGGUCCUGUUUCGAAAAUAUUGAGCAGCUGAUGGGGUUCGACUCCCUGCGUCCGCC